CGCGCAGGCGGCGCGAGAAGUCAGGCGUGAAAGCCCCGGGCUCAACCUGGGAAUUGCGCUUGAUACUCUCAUGCUGGAGUUCGGGAGAGGAGAGUGGAAUUCCCAGUGUAGAGGUGAAAUUCGUAGAUAUUGGGAAGAACACCGGUGGCGAAGGCGGCUCUCUGGACCGAGACUGACGCUGAGGCGCGAAAGCGUGGGGAGCAAACAGGAUUAGAUACCCUGGUAGUCCACGCUGUAAACGAUGUGUGCUAGACGUUGGGGGGCCUAGCCCUCCGGUGUCGCAGCUAACGCUUUAAGCACACCGCCUGGGGAGUACGGCCGCAAGGUUAAA
RNAcentral lists this ribosomal RNA (331 nucleotides) under uncultured bacterium. RNAcentral's name for it is "bacterial SSU rRNA". It matches the Rfam family "Bacterial small subunit ribosomal RNA", at positions 568 to 898 of the family's 1533-position model. The record is from RNAcentral.